UCUUUCUGUGCUGAGGCUCUGGAAUGUGCACUGGGCACAGUACCCAAGUGAAAAUGUAGAACCAUUCUCUGUUGCCUUCCUUCUGAGAACAGA
Nannospalax galili (Upper Galilee mountains blind mole rat) is the source of this 93-nucleotide small nucleolar RNA. The record is from Ensembl. Lineage: Eukaryota; Metazoa; Chordata; Mammalia; Rodentia; Spalacidae.